This 253-nucleotide ribosomal RNA is filed under the name uncultured bacterium. Its description in RNAcentral is "partial 16S ribosomal RNA". It matches the Rfam family "Bacterial small subunit ribosomal RNA", at positions 524 to 776 of the family's 1533-position model. The record is from RNAcentral.
GACGGAGGGUGCAAGCGUUAUUCGGAAUCAUUGGGCGUAAAGGGUGUGCAGGCGGCCGGUCAAGUCAGAGGUGAAAGCCCGGGGCUCAACCUCGGAAGUGCCUUUGAAACUGGUAGACUUGAGUUCGGGAGAGGGGAGCGGAAUUCCUGGUGUAGAGGUGAAAUUCGUAGAUAUCAGGAGGAACACCAGUGGCGAAGGCGGCUCCCUGGCCCGGUACUGACGCUGAGGUGCGAAAGCGUGGGGAGCAAACAGG